GGACUACUGGGGUUUCUAAUCCUGUUUGCUCCCCACGCUUUCGCACAUGAGCGUCAGUACAUUCCCAAGGGGCUGCCUUCGCCUUCGGUAUUCCUCCACAUCUCUACGCAUUUCACCGCUACACGUGGAAUUCUACCCCUCCCUAAAGUACUCUAGCGACCCAGUAUGAAAUGCAAUUCCCAGGUUAAGCCCGGGGCUUUCACAUCUCACUUAAGUCACCGCCUGCGUGCCCUUCACGCCCAGUUAUUCCGAUUAACGCUCGCACCCCCCGUAUUACCGCGGCUGCUGGCACC
RNAcentral lists this unclassified non-coding RNA (293 nucleotides) under uncultured Pasteurellaceae bacterium. RNAcentral's name for it is "contains 16S-23S intergenic spacer region". The record is from RNAcentral. Lineage: Bacteria; Pseudomonadati; Pseudomonadota; Gammaproteobacteria; Pasteurellales; Pasteurellaceae.